This 229-nucleotide long non-coding RNA is filed under the name Daucus carota (carrot). RNAcentral describes it as "long non-coding RNA (DCAR_LNC000157)". Lineage: Eukaryota; Viridiplantae; Streptophyta; Magnoliopsida; Apiales; Apiaceae. The record is from RNAcentral.
CGAGUUUUUCCAGCCAUUGAAUUCCCAAGAUCACAUCUGAACUGCCCAAACACAAUGGAAGAUAAUCCUCGACUACUGUCAAAUUGGGUAAUUCCAGCACCACCUGCCUCCAUUCCCCCUGUCCGUGGACUGCUUCACCCGUUCCCAACGUUACCCCAAAUGAUUUAUUGGACGUGACAGGAAUCCCCAAUUUGGCCACCGCAUCAAUCGAGAUGAAAUUAUGCGAGGC